GCCGCCGGUGUCACUGGCUCGUGUUACUCACCGCCACUGCCAUUCGACUUGCCGAUCAACGAUCAACAUUACUACGCCGUCAUCGAGAUCAAAAAGGGGUCGUAUGUUGUUCAAAUCCGGUUAAAAAAUUUUAGAAACUUUUUAACUUCCACAGAUCCGGCUGAUCGGCGGCGAUUUGGCGGUUACUAGUGGCUAUGGAUGGUCGGAAAUGGAAGUGGCAGCCUUGAUGGACAAAGCCAAGGCGAAGGCGUGACGAGAGAAAUGUAUGUUAGGGUUUGCCAAUAUAGAAUAGAUUUUUUAUGGGGUUGUGAUAAAAAGUAAAAGGACG
RNAcentral lists this long non-coding RNA (328 nucleotides) under Citrus x clementina. Its description in RNAcentral is "Citrus clementina (C. clementina) long non-coding RNA (CCLE_LNC005768)". Lineage: Eukaryota; Viridiplantae; Streptophyta; Magnoliopsida; Sapindales; Rutaceae. The record is from RNAcentral.